CGCCGGACGGCACCUAGCGCCGGACACUCGUACUAUCUCGGCAAGUUAAAACGUGUGCGAUUCAAAGAUAGGUGAAAGGGGUGCGGGGGAGUGUAGCAAUGCAGAGUCAUGCGAAACGGCUGGCCAGUGACGCAAAAGCCCACGGUGGGAGCGGACGAUUGCUGUUUUCGAUGAGACAACGCUGUGUCACUUAAGAUCCAAAGAUUAGAAUAAUUGAGUGAAAUUGUGAUGGAGGGGACCA
Molecule: unclassified non-coding RNA, 241 nt
Filed under: Melitaea cinxia (Glanville fritillary)
Lineage: Eukaryota; Metazoa; Arthropoda; Insecta; Lepidoptera; Nymphalidae
Description: misc RNA ENSMCXG00005018836.1
Source: RNAcentral